This 425-nucleotide ribosomal RNA is filed under the name uncultured bacterium. RNAcentral's name for it is "partial 16S ribosomal RNA". It matches the Rfam family "Bacterial small subunit ribosomal RNA", at positions 354 to 796 of the family's 1533-position model. The record is from RNAcentral.
GUGGGGAAUCUUAGACAAUGGGGGAAACCCUGAUCUAGCCAUGCCGCGUGAGCGAUGAAGGCCUUAGGGUUGUAAAGCUCUUUCAGCUGGGAAGAUAAUGACGGUACCAGCAGAAGAAGCCCCGGCUAACUCCGUGCCAGCAGCCGCGGUAAUACGGAGGGGGCUAGCGUUGUUCGGAAUUACUGGGCGUAAAGCGCGCGUAGGCGGACCAGAAAGUUGGAGGUGAAAUCCCAGGGCUCAACCUUGGAACUGCCUUCAAAACUCCUGGUCUGGAGUUCGAGAGAGGUGAGUGGAAUUCCGAGUGUAGAGGUGAAAUUCGUAGAUAUUCGGAAGAACACCAGUGGCGAAGGCGACACACUGGCUCAUUACUGACGCUGAGGCGCGAAAGCGUGGGGAGCAAACAGGAUUAGAUACCCGUGUAGUCC